GCUGGGCAUGGUGAUGUAUGCCUGUAACCCCAGCAACUCAGGAGCCUGAGGCAGGAGGAUUGCAAGUUUGAGGCCAGCCUCAGCAACUUAGUGAGACCCUGCUCAAA
Molecule: small RNA, 107 nt
Filed under: Marmota monax (woodchuck)
Lineage: Eukaryota; Metazoa; Chordata; Mammalia; Rodentia; Sciuridae
Source: RNAcentral